AAAGGAUGUGUAGGCGGUAGUGUUAGUCUCUUGUUAAAUUCUUCGGCUUAACCGGGGGCAUGCAAGGGAAACGGCACAACUAGAGGAUGCGAGGGGUCUGCGGAACUCAUAGUGUAGCGGUGAAAUGCGUUGAUAUUAUGGGGAACACCAAAAGCGAAGGCAGCAGACUGGAGCACUCCUGACGCUGAAACAUGAAAGCGUGGGUAGCGAAUGGGAUUAGAUACCCCAGU
Molecule: ribosomal RNA, 230 nt
Filed under: uncultured bacterium
Lineage: Bacteria
Description: partial 16S ribosomal RNA
Rfam family: Bacterial small subunit ribosomal RNA
Source: RNAcentral